AGUGAACGCUGGCGGUAGGCCUAACACAUGCAAGUCGAACGGCAGCACAGUAAGAGCUUGCUCUUACGGGUGGCGAGUGGCGGACGGGUGAGGAAUACAUCGGAAUCUACUUUUUCGUGGGGGAUAACGUAGGGAAACUUACGCUAAUACCGCAUACGCCCUACGGGUGAAAGCAGGGGAUCUUCGCACCUUGCGCGAUUGAAUUAGCCGAUGUCGGAUUAGCUAGUUGGGGGGGUAAAGGCCCACCCAGGCGACGAUCCGUAGCUGGUCUGAGAGGAUGAUCAGCCACACUGGAACUGAGACACGGUCCAGACUCCUACGGGAGGCAGCAGUGGGGAAUAUUGGACAAUGGGCGCAAGCCUGAUCCAGCCAUACCGCGUGGGUGAAGAAGGCCUUCGGGUUGUAAAGCCCUUUUGUUGGGAAAGAAAAGCAGCAGGUUAAUACCCCGCGGUUCUGACGGUACCCAAAGAAUAAGCACCGGCUAACUUCGUG
This 492-nucleotide ribosomal RNA is filed under the name uncultured bacterium. Its description in RNAcentral is "partial 16S ribosomal RNA". It matches the Rfam family "Bacterial small subunit ribosomal RNA", at positions 29 to 507 of the family's 1533-position model. The record is from RNAcentral.